RNAcentral lists this unclassified non-coding RNA (3719 nucleotides) under Chelonus insularis. RNAcentral describes it as "eH domain-binding protein 1, transcript variant X1". The record is from RNAcentral. Lineage: Eukaryota; Metazoa; Arthropoda; Insecta; Hymenoptera; Braconidae.
UGUUAAUCAGCUGUCUCAUUGGUCGCGGAUACAUACCAAUUCGUCAUAUAUGUAUUUUGUCUUGUAUGAAUAUGGUUUAUAGUAAAACUAAUAGUUCAGUGAGUGCACAUAGAUACGCGUACGAGUACGUCGAAUAACGAUAAUAAAAUUAUUUGUGGAAUUUAUUAUAUUUUAAAAUGUGGUGACUAUAUACUAUGAAAAAGAAAAUAUUGCAAUGUGGAAGUUGAGGUAGUCGCCAUUGAAAAUAAAAGAUCCGGUAGAGGACUAAAAAAAAAUCAAGGAUGAAGGUUGAAGGAUAAUUACGGGAUCGAGAACAGGAAACUGGUAUCUCAAUCGAUUAUAACCCUACGUUCUUGUGUUUUCUGACAGUUUUAUUAAAACCACAAAGAAAUAUAAAACCUCGGCCUUGGCACUUUAAGAAAUGACGAAAUAUUGACUUUUAGCCAGUGAUGUUUAAAUGCACGUGAUCAAUUUUUACCAAACAAUUUGACGCCAAGAAUUCAUCAAAAUAUCAAAAUGAGUUCUGUUUGGAAAAGACUUCAGCGAGUGAACAAAAGAGCAGCUAAAUUUCAAUUUACUGUCUCAUAUCAUGAACUUACUUUAGAAACCACAUCCAAAUGGAAACCAACUAAAUUAAGUGUAGUGUGGACAAGAAGAAGUCGAAGAGUAAGUUCUGAACCUUUAGAAUGGGAACCUUGUUUGAGUGAUCCUUUGAUAGGAAUCAUCAACUGGCCAGUUCCUGACAAUCAUACUGUGUCUGUGACACUAUUUAAAGACCCUAGAACUCAUGAAUUGGAGGACAAAGAUUGGACUUUUGUCAUUGAAGAUGUUUCGUCAACCGGUAAAAGGCGACAUGUUGCUGCCACUAAUAUUAAUAUGAAGAAAUAUGCAACUUUGGAAUCUAGUCAGCAACAACUUAAAUUAGAUCUCAAGCCCACAUCGAAAAAAAUAGCGAGAGCUACUCUUGAAUGUACUUUGUCUUGUGUAUUUCUUCGUGAAGGAAAAGCAACCGAUGAAGAUAUGCAGAGUAUGGCUAGUUUGAUGUCAGUCAAUAAUAAUAGUGAUAUUGCGCCUCUAGACGAUUUUGAUAACGAAGAUAUUCCUGAAGAUGUUGAGGAUUUAUCAUCAAAAAAUCUAGAUGAAAUUUUAGACAUAUCUACUCAAUUAGACCUGAUGACGAGUAGUUUGACUGAAAGUGAAAUGCCGAGUACUCCAAUAAGUGUCGCCAGUUUGGUAAAAGACGAUGCGACACCAGUAAAUGAUGAUAUAAACGUCACAUGUGAUACUAGCAUAACAAUGGUUACUGAUCAUCAUGUGAAAGAUAGAUCACCUAUUAAAGAUGAAAUAGCAAUCGAAAAUGAUAAAAAUACAGCAAUGAGGUCAAAGCUUCAACCUUUAGAUUUAAAAAUAAAUGAGACUGCACCAAGAAUGAGGGAAGUUACCCCAGGUCAGGAUCUUUUAGAAUGGUGUAAAGAAGUAACACAUAAUUACCCAGGUGUUAAAGUAACGAAUUUAACAACUUCAUGGCGAAAUGGAAUGGCAUUUUGUGCAAUCAUUCAUCAUUUUAGACCAGAUCUCAUAGAUAUAGAUUCCUUAUUGCCUCAUGAUGUCAAAGGUAACUGUAAAAAAGCUUUUGAUGCUGGUGAAGCAUUGGGAAUUCCUCGAGUUAUCGAGCCAGCAGAUAUGGAUAUAUUAACGGUGCCAGAUAAAUUAGCCGUUAUGACAUAUUUAUAUCAAUUAAGGGCUCAUUUCACUGGUCAUGAACUGGAGGUUCAUCAGAUUGGUAAAACAACAGAUGAAUCAUCAUACAUGAUCGGUAGGUUCAAUACUGAUGAUAAUUCUGAAGUUAGUGUUCAAUUAUUUGGUCAAGAAAUCAUUAAUAUGAGGAAGAAAGAACAGAAUGAACAGAAAAGUAAUAAAACUGAAUGCAAUCGACGAUCAAAUCCAUUUGAUUAUAAAAGAGAAGAUUCGUGCGGUGAAUCACUUAAAAAUAAAUUGCAUCUUAACUUAAAUACCGAAAUUCAAGAUAACGAUCCAGUUAAUAAAGACAAAUCACCAUCAAGUGUAAAAGAUGUAAAGGAUAUUAUUCUAGCUGGUUCUAAAAGUAUUCUUGGUAAAGUGCUUUCUCCAACGAAAGAAAAAUACGCAUCUAGAGAAAAGAGUAAAUCUCCUCCACGACCACUUCAUGUUCAACAACGUCCAAUUUUGAUGACAAGACGUCAAUUAACAGACCCGUUCGGUUCAGAUGAUGAAGAAGAAAAUAUUCAAGUAGUAGAUGAUAAGUGGUCUCAAUCAAUUUCUAUCACUAAAUCGCCUACGUCAUCGCGUGAUGAAAUAAUAGAUAGAACCAUACGAGCCAACUCCGAAGGUCGCGGUGAAAUGUCACCAACUCAUAGAGAACCACGGUCUCAACACCCACUGGUCUCAAGACAUGAUGAGUUACGAGAGCGUGCGAGACAGCUUUUAGAACAAGCACGAAAUCAAACAAAAACAUCGGCAGUGUCAUCUCCAGUUUCCAGUCCUGGAGAAUCUCAAAUAGAUGAUGACAGACAGCAGCAAUUACGAGAACGAGCCCGAAGACUUAUCGCUGAAGCGAGAAUGGGUGUUGUUAUAACUCCAAGUCAGUUAGGAGAUGACAAUAGCAGCGAUAAACGAUCUAUUGAUGAUCAGAAUAAUAGUCCAAGGCGAAGUAUUACACCUUCAACACCCGGAGAUCGACUGAGCAUAAAGUCCGAACACAAUGGUAAUAUAUUAGCGAAUUCAUCGAACAUUAGUGAUGGGGAGAAAAAGUCUACUACUCCUAUAUAUUCUUACAAUAAAAUAAUUGAGAGGAUUUCUCCAGACAAAAGUAGUCCUGAGAAAAGUCCGCAGACAAUGCGUGGGUUUGGUAAAGACAUGACAUCAUAUAUCCAAAAUGAAUUAGAAGCUUUAGAAAGAGAACAAAGUCAAAUAGAUGUUCAAGCAGCGAAACUUGAAAAACAACUUCGAGCUGCGAUGGAGAGUGACAAUGAAGAAGAUACUAAUUUACUCAUGUCACAUUGGUUUACACUUGUUAAUAAGAAAAAUGCACUGCUACGACGACAGAUGCAGUUAAAUAUUUUGGAAAAAGAAGAUGAUUUAGAACGAAGAUUUGAACUUUUAAAUCGAGAAUUGAGGAGUAUUUUUGCUGUAGAAGAUUGGCAAAAAACUGCUGAACAAAAAGUUCGAGAGAAUCUCCUUUUAGAAGAAUUAGUUUCGAUUGUGAAUAAAAGAGAUGAAUUAGUGCAUCAUCUUGAUUCUCAAGAAAGAGCAAUUGAGGAUGAUGAUGAAAUAGAACGUGAUUUAUCCCGUGCUGGUUUAGGACAAAGAAAUAAGAAUUGUGUAAUUCAAUAAAAUGAAAUAAGCAAUAUUAGAAAAAAAAAUAUUGCCAAGAAGAAAGUUGCCAAAGAAGAAAAAGAAGGAUCAUCAGAGACGAGUUACAGCAAUUUAAGUAGGUUAACAAACCUUAUGAUGACACAUUGACUCUCGACAUCUAUCAACAUGUUCCGGUACAUUUCAUCAGCUAAUCCAUAAAUGUGGGGUGGAUUUUCAUAAGGGGCCUAAAUGUAAUAAAUUUUUAUUAGAAAGAAUAUAUGAAGAUAAAAAAUUGAAAAUUUUUCUCGGAAUAUGAAGUAUUUUUUUUAUUCCAUGAUAUAACAUUACUGAUAUCUGAUAGAUGCUAUAAUGUGAUUCUUCAAUUG